Molecule: ribosomal RNA, 301 nt
Filed under: uncultured bacterium
Lineage: Bacteria
Description: partial 16S ribosomal RNA
Rfam family: Bacterial small subunit ribosomal RNA
Source: RNAcentral
CAGUAGCCGCGGUAAUACGUAGGGUGCAAGCGUUAAUCGGAAUUACUGGGCGUAAAGCGUGCGUAGGCGUCUUCUUAAGUCGGAUGUGAAAUCCCUGAGCUUAACUUAGGAAUUGCAUUCGAUACUGGGAAGCUAGAGUAUGGGAGAGGAUGGUAGAAUUCCAGGUGUAGCGGUGAAAUGCGUAGAGAUCUGGAGGAAUACCGAUGGCGAAGGCAGCCAUCUGGCCUAAUACUGACGCUGAGGUACGAAAGCAUGGGGAGCAAACAGGAUUAGAGACCCUUGUAGUCCCUGUCUCUUAUAC